RNAcentral lists this long non-coding RNA (213 nucleotides) under Chinchilla lanigera (long-tailed chinchilla). RNAcentral describes it as "lncRNA (ENSCLAG00000024648.1)". The record is from RNAcentral. Lineage: Eukaryota; Metazoa; Chordata; Mammalia; Rodentia; Chinchillidae.
AUGAAAAGGGCAGGCGCUUUUGCCACUGAGCUAAAUCCCCAGCCCCAACUGAUGCUUAUCUGGACAGAUCGCUUUGUACUGGCUCCAGUAUCUCCCCAAGAAUUCCUAAGCGAGCCUAGAAAAAUUUCCAGGAAUAACACACACACACACACCAUGAGGUCUUUGCAAGAGCAAGAGAAAGACAAGCAAAUCAAAUCACCCACUGUGACCUGA